GAUGAACGCUGGCGGCGUGCCUAAUACAUGCAAGUCGAGCGAACAGAUGAGGAGCUUGCUCCUUUGAUGUUAGCGGCGGACGGGUGAGUAACACGUGGGUAACCUACCUAUAAGACUGGGAUAACUUCGGGAAACCGGAGCUAAUACCGGAUAACAUUUUGAACCGCAUGGUUCAAAAGUGAAAGAUGGUUUUGCUAUCACUUAUAGAUGGACCCGCGCUGUAUUAGCUAGUUGGUAAGGUAACGGCUUACCAAGGCAACGAUGCGUAGCCGACCUGAGAGGGUGAUCGGCCACACUGGAACUGAGACACGGUCCAGACUCCUACGGGAGGCAGCAGUAGGGAAUCUUCCGCAAUGGGCGAAAGCCUGACGGAGCAACGCCGCGUGAGUGAUGAAGGUCUUCGGCUCGUAAAACUCUGUUAUUAGGGAAGAACAUAUGUGUAAGUAACUGUGCACAUCUUGACGGUACCUAAUCAGAAAGCCACGGCUAACUACGUG
This 497-nucleotide ribosomal RNA is filed under the name uncultured bacterium. RNAcentral describes it as "partial 16S ribosomal RNA". It matches the Rfam family "Bacterial small subunit ribosomal RNA", at positions 28 to 507 of the family's 1533-position model. The record is from RNAcentral.